This 125-nucleotide transfer RNA is filed under the name Limnofasciculus baicalensis BBK-W-15. RNAcentral's name for it is "tRNA-OTHER". Lineage: Bacteria; Bacillati; Cyanobacteriota; Cyanophyceae; Coleofasciculales; Coleofasciculaceae. The record is from RNAcentral.
UGGUAGGUAGUUGAAAGGUAAAACACCAAAAACAUCCUUAAUUCAUACCUUGCCUAAAAAGGCCGACGAGUUGAGGGUUAUCGCCUGUAACGCGGGAGAUGCGGGUUCGAUUCCCGCCCUACCAC